GCGGGCGUGGCGGAAUUGGCAGACGCGCAAGACUAAGGAUCUUGUGGUUGUAUUACUGUGAAGGUUCAAAUCCUUUCGCCCGCACCA
This 87-nucleotide transfer RNA is filed under the name Clostridia bacterium. RNAcentral's name for it is "tRNA-Leu". It matches the Rfam family "tRNA". Rfam says of the family: Transfer RNA (tRNA) molecules are approximately 80 nucleotides in length. Their secondary structure includes four short double-helical elements and three loops (D, anti-codon, and T loops). The record is from RNAcentral. Lineage: Bacteria; Bacillati; Bacillota; Clostridia.